UUAGAAGAAGAAAGAGAGAGAGAAGGGAGAGAGACACCAGCCUGCUUGUUUUCUCUAUCGAUGGAUGAGAAACAAUAACUGUGUUUGCUACUGAAAUCCAUGUAUGGAAGUUGGAAGUAAUCCGGUGGAGUUCACUUUGUUGCUGACCUGUAGAAGGAAACAGGUAUUUGUGUGUGGACGACCACGGUUCGGAUGCUUUUCGGGGUGAGGAAGUCACUACCGAGUAAACACUGGAGUGUCGUUUGGGUUCCAUCGUGGAACAUUUGGAUUUCGUAUGUACUCUCUCUAUGUUUUUCUACAUCUACAUCUUAUCUUCAGACAACGGUGGUUGUUGAAGAAGCCCUUGCUCAUGUUUCACCUUAUGGCUUGCGGAACUGAACUUUAAGAACCAUUCCGGAACUGGGAGUUUUGGACUUUGUCACACACACACAUGAAGAGUUUAGUUUUGGGGUUAACGUUCGAGCUCUAACACCAGAAGGCAGAUAGUUCCAUCCAGCUCGGAAUGUCCGGCGGGAAGAAGUGGGAGGUUCUGAGAUCCGAGAAGGAGGGCAUCCAUCUCCUGGAACUCAACAGCAAGUGUGACAUUGCUGAUACCAAUGCCACAGCAGCCAGAAGUUCAAGGGUGAGGAGGAAGCCCUGGAAACUUCCUGAAUCUGGCAACUGUGGAAUUAAUUCACCCCCCUGACAUAACCUCACAGGUAGACGGCACCAGAUACAGAGCAGUAGUAACACCUAAACACACUGCAUGUACACAAACGCAUGCAUAUGCACACACCCACACACAGAAACAUGCACAUGCACUACACCAAUGCACCCAAUGCCACACUACAGAUACACAAUCACACCCACACACACCCACAAAUGCAUGGCUCUCUGCACAGAAUCCCCACAGACAUCCUCACACCUGCUCAUUCUCUCUCACAAAAAGCUCGGGCUUAUUUUCACGUGCACAUGCACAGCCACACACGUUCACUUACAGAUGCUAGUACACAGUGACACACUUUACACCUGUACACAACAUAC
This is a long non-coding RNA of Pristis pectinata (smalltooth sawfish), 1023 nucleotides long. RefSeq lists it as uncharacterized. The transcript is spliced from 3 exons. NCBI's taxonomy places the organism in Eukaryota, Metazoa, Chordata, Chondrichthyes, Rhinopristiformes, Pristidae. The record is from RefSeq and is a predicted model, not a curated record.